RNAcentral lists this unclassified non-coding RNA (345 nucleotides) under soil metagenome. RNAcentral describes it as "partial contains 5.8S ribosomal RNA, internal transcribed spacer 2, and large subunit ribosomal RNA". The stretch from base 1 to 120 matches the Rfam family "5.8S ribosomal RNA", at positions 35 to 154 of the family's 154-position model. The record is from RNAcentral.
GAUGAAGAACGCAGCGAAAUGCGAUAAGUAAUGUGAAUUGCAGAACUCAGUGAAUCAUCGAAUCUUUGAACGCACAUUGCGCCCCCUGGCCUUCCGGGGGGCAUGCCUGUUCGAGCGUCAUUGCUGCCCUCAAGCACGGCUUGUGUGUUGGGCCUCCGUCCUCCUCCCGGGGGACGGGCCCGAAAGGCAGCGGCGGCACCGCGUCCGGUCCUCGAGCGUAUGGGGCUUCGUCACCCGCUCUUGUAGGCCCGGCCGGCGCUUGCCGACACAUCAAUCUUUUUUCCAGGUUGACCUCGGAUCAGGUAGGGAUACCCGCUGAACUUAAGCAUAUCAAUAAGCGGAGGA